RNAcentral lists this non-coding RNA (29 nucleotides) under Mus musculus (house mouse). The record is from RNAcentral. Lineage: Eukaryota; Metazoa; Chordata; Mammalia; Rodentia; Muridae.
UGCAACACAGGGUUUGCCUAAUGCCAUGC